This 394-nucleotide ribosomal RNA is filed under the name uncultured bacterium. RNAcentral describes it as "bacterial SSU rRNA". It matches the Rfam family "Bacterial small subunit ribosomal RNA", at positions 775 to 1166 of the family's 1533-position model. The record is from RNAcentral.
GGAUUAGAAACCCGGGUAGUCCACGCCGUAAACGUUGGGAACUAGAUGUGGGGUCCAUUCCACGGAUUCCGUGUCGCAGCUAACGCAUUAAGUUCCCCGCCUGGGGAGUACGGCCGCAAGGCUAAAACUCAAAGGAAUUGACGGGGGCCCGCACAAGCGGCGGAGCAUGCGGAUUAAUUCGAUGCAACGCGAAGAACCUUACCAAGGCUUGACUAUCACGAGAACACUCUAGAAAUAGAGGACUCUUUGGACACUCGUGAAACAGGUGGUGCAUGGUUGUCGUCAGCUCGUGUCGUGAGAUGUUGGGUUAAGUCCCGCAACGAGCGCAACCCUCGUUCUAUGUUGCCAGCACGUAAUGGUGGGAACUCAUAGGAGACUGCCGGGGUCAACUCGG